ACCUUAUCCAGAGAGGCGGAGGGACUGGCCCGAUGAAGCCCGGCAGCGGAUCUGCCCGUACGGCGGCAGAUGCUGUGCCAAUUCCAGCAGGAGCAUUCCUGACAGAUAAGAA
This 112-nucleotide non-coding RNA is filed under the name Bacillus sp. (in: firmicutes). Its description in RNAcentral is "Bacillus sp. SAM-I sequence". It matches the Rfam family "SAM riboswitch aptamer (S box leader)". From Rfam's summary of the family: The SAM riboswitch is found upstream of a number of genes which code for proteins involved in methionine or cysteine biosynthesis in Gram-positive bacteria. Lineage: Bacteria; Bacillati; Bacillota; Bacilli; Caryophanales; Bacillaceae. The record is from RNAcentral. RNAcentral also lists the same sequence under 1 other name.